GUGCCAGCCGCCGCGGUAAUACGUAGGGUCCGAGCGUUGUCCGGAGUUACUGGGCGUAAAGCGCGCGCAGGCGGCUUGAUAAGUCUGGCGUGAAAGCCCCCGGCUCAACCGGGGAGGGUCGUCGGAGACUGUGAAGCUUGAGGGCGGUAGGGGCUGGUGGAAUUCCCGGUGUAGUGGUGAAAUGCGUAGAGAUCGGGAGGAACACCUGUGGCGAAGGCGGCCAGCUGGGCCGACCCUGACGCUGAGGCGCGAAGGCGUGGGGAGCGAACGGGAUUAGAAACCCGUGUAGUCC
RNAcentral lists this ribosomal RNA (292 nucleotides) under uncultured bacterium. Its description in RNAcentral is "partial 16S ribosomal RNA". It matches the Rfam family "Bacterial small subunit ribosomal RNA", at positions 505 to 796 of the family's 1533-position model. The record is from RNAcentral.